RNAcentral lists this ribosomal RNA (253 nucleotides) under uncultured bacterium. RNAcentral describes it as "partial 16S ribosomal RNA". It matches the Rfam family "Bacterial small subunit ribosomal RNA", at positions 524 to 776 of the family's 1533-position model. The record is from RNAcentral.
UACGAAGGGGGCUAGCGUUGCUCGGAAUCACUGGGCGUAAAGCGCACGUAGGCGGAUCUUUAAGUCAGGGGUGAAAUCCUGGAGCUCAACUCCAGAACUGCCUUUGAUACUGGGGAUCUCGAGUCCGGGAGAGGUGAGUGGAAUUCCUAGUGUAGAGGUGAAAUUCGUAGAUAUUAGGAAGAACACCGGUGGCGAAGGCGGAUCUCUGGGCCUGUCCUGACGCUGAGGCGCGAAAGCUAGGGGAGCGAACAGG